Molecule: long non-coding RNA, 7403 nt
Organism: Orcinus orca (killer whale)
Lineage: Eukaryota; Metazoa; Chordata; Mammalia; Artiodactyla; Delphinidae
Exons: 3
Source: RefSeq, a predicted model, not a curated record
GAGAAGCCACCGCAGUGAGAAGCCCGCGCACCGCAAGGAAGAGUAGCCUCCACUCGCCUCAACUAGAGAAAGCCUGCGCACAGCAACAAAGGCCUAACGCAGCCAAAAAUAAAUAAGUUAAUUAAUUUAGAAAAAUGAGCUGGGGUAGCAACAAGUCUCAUGCCCUCUCUGAGCCUCAAUUUCCUCUUCAGGAGAGCACUCCUAGAUGUCUUUCUUUCUUACCCACCUGCUCCCCAUCGGGAAAGAGCUGGGGUUGGGCCACAGAUCUGAGGUUGCCUCUGGAAAGGCCUCUAAGCACCUGGGGCUCUCAUGGGCCAAGGAGAGGAGGCAGACAGGGUGCCUGCCCUCUGCCCCACCCCUCUUGCUGGAUCACGUCAGGAGCCCAGUCUCCAUGGGGAGCUACUCGCUGCCCCCAAAGGGUCUCAGCUUCAGGAAGCCCCAGGCCUUCACGCCCUGGCACUCCCAACCCCACCUAUCCCCAGCUCUUAAAGUCAGGGUGAGGUCAGGAGCCAGGGAGGGCCCUCAUCCGUCCCUGCCUGCCCACCUUGGCCCAGACUGGAGCCCAGGUGCCCCACCCUAGCAGGAGCUGUCAAAUAUAAUCAUGGGUGCCUUCAAGUGUGGCCCAGCCAUGCUCUGGGUGGGGGCUGCCUGCCUGGCCGCCAGCACCUUGUAGACAGAAGCUACCUUCAGAGCUCCCUUCAUUUUGCCUGAAACCAAGGUGGGGAGGAUCCAUCCCUGUUGCCCCGGCUUGGGGAAGUUGUGCAACCCAGGGCUCCACCCCCAGCACCCAGCCCAUGGAGGUGGAGGCAGCAGAACUGAGAAUUCACAUCCAUCUUUUUUUUUUUUUUUUUUUUUUAAUCACGCCUGGGGGCCUCGUGGGAUCUUAGUUCCCCAACCAGGGAUUGAACCCUGGGCCCUCUGCAGUGAAAGUAUUGCCAAAUCUGGCUCCCUCGGCACCAAUGCUGGAUAAAAAUAUGGAGACAGAGAAUUGGAAGAUAAGAAAUAGAGAGGCUUUUUAUUUUCUUUGCCAGGCAAAGGGAAGACACAGUAGACUAACGCCUCAAGAACUGUGCCUCCUUCUUGGGGAAUCGGAGAAGAUUUUAUAUGUGGGGCUCGCAGUCCGGGGUAUAUGAUAAGGAUCAAAAGUAGUGGAGGUCUUGCAUUUCUUUUCUUCUGCAAAUUCAUGGCCAAAGUUGGCAUCAGGUAGCUCAGCAACCGGGUCUGAUGUCCCUGAAGUUAUGGGCCCAUGACCUUCUUUCUGAAAUGAAGAGUGCUACAGGGGAGUGUAGGGGGAGAAGAAACGCCAGGUGCAAAGGCUCAUCUGUAUGGAGUCAGAGAGUAAUCAACUUUGUGAAGGACAAGUCCAGCUACAAGUGUUUGUUAGUAGUAACAGCUAAAGAAUAACCAAGAUUGCUUAACUCUUUCAGGCCUGUUUAUGUUGUUUCCCCAGCCUGUUCAUUGUUUCCUUAUUUUCCAGUUUAGCAGAAAAGUCUAAUUUCUAUUUUUGCUACAACAAAAGUGUGGAGUUCUAACCACUGGACUGCCAGGGAAUUCCCCGCAUCCAUCUUCAAUGGGUCACUUCUCAAGGGACUCUCAGAUCAGAGCUGCCAAUCAUAAGGGAGGGGAACUGGGUAGCUCUGGGUGGUAGUAAGCACGGGUAGGGGUGGAGGAGAAACUGGGUUUUGGAGUCAGACAAGGCUGGGCUUGAACCUGCUGCUGGCCUGGUGACCUCUCUGAGCUGGCACGUCCCCAUCUGCAAGACGUAGCUAAUAACACACCCAUCUUUUUUUUUUUUUUAACACACCCAUCUUGCAGGGCUGCGGUGAAUCUGUAACACGGUAACUCCUGUGAAGCGCCUGGUGCUCAGAAGUGUUCAUUGUUAUUAAGGAAAGAAGGCCUUUAAUUUUGGAUAUUGAGACUUAGAUUAAUGAGAAUUACCUGGUUGAUAUGUGCUUUAUAGCACGUUCAGGUAUCUUAUCAGAGUCCCAUCCUGGAGAUGAGAAAACUGAGAGUCACAACUGCCCCAAGGUCACAAAGCUGGUGAAGGAUGGAGGGAUUGGAACCCAGGCCUCCUGCCUCUCUAUCCGGCAGGGGGGAGACUUCCCAGGCAGUCCAGGGAGGGCCGUGGGCUGUGGCUUGCAGGCCCAGGGUGAGGUGUGCAGCCCAGGGUUACCUGUGGGACGGGGAGGGUUGGGCUAGCCUCUCUGGGUUCACUUCCAGCCCUGACCAAGCACCCUUCCUCUAGGGUACUGAGCUCCCGGGGGUAGUUUUUCUGGGAUUAAGAGGACAACUCCACCUGCAGGGAUUUCCCAGAAGCCAAGGGGGUGGGGAGCAGGGGGACACUGCAGGGAUUCCUUAAUCAGAGGGGCCCGUCCCCUAUCCCUAGCCCCAGCGUCUGGGUUACUCUGCCGCAGCUCCGAGAACAGCCUCCCAGCUUCCUGGCCUGGCCCUCGCCUGAGCACUUGGCCACACUGGCCACUCCCUUGGCAGGCUUUUGCCAACUCCAGCUGCCGCAGCCCUUCCCUCCCUGGCCCAGCCUCAGAAAGUGCGAGAGCGUUCAGGCAGCUGCCCGAGCUCCCGGGAGAGGCCCGACAGCUGAUGAAGCGCCAGCCGCUGGGCCUGCUGGGAACUAAGAAUCCGGCCUCCGUGACUCAUUUUCUUCAUCUGUACGAUGAGACCAUCGAACUGGAUGUUCUCGAAGGCUCCUUCCAGCGCUGGCGAAUCAACAGUUUCUCCUCCACUCUCUACUCUCCCCCAUCCCCCACGACCCCCCAUCCCACCCAGGGAUGUGUAUAUGAAUUGGAAUUUCCUGUUUUCCUGCCUGCCUUCCAGUGUUUUUCCCUUUUCCCAAGGUAAGAGCAGAAGAGUUCAGUCUGAACCCUCCGUCUGCGGGAGGGACAGGGGCCUGGUACCCUCCCUGUCCUUCUCGGCGGGACGGGCACCAAGUAGCCAGGGAGGUGCUGAAGACAAGAGCUUCGGGCUUCCAGGCUGCCACGGGUCCUCCCCCGGGGAUCUCUCCUCUCUGUCCAGGCCUGUUUUGUAUCCCUUCUGGCGCGCCGCCAGCCAGCAGUUUUUUUUCCUCUCUCUCUGUCGCCCUCUAGGGUCUUCCUGCUGCCACCAUGCCUUUGGUCUCCACCCUCCCCCACGGUUGCUGGAACCCCUCACGCCGUAGUUGCCUCGUUCACUCCUUCACUCAUUCAACAAACAUCUCAAGGGUGCCUGUUCGGGGAAUGCAGAGAUAAGAAGGCAUGGCCUGGGCUCCAGAAGCUCACAGAUUCAGGGAGAGAGAGACCCGCCAACAAAUAACUGGAUCAAGAGCUCGAUACCCUAAAGACAGGAACAGACCUAGGGCUGGAGAAAUCCAGAGGCGGGAGUGGCCACUGCAGCUGGGGAUCGGGAAGGCUCCUAGAAGUAGGGGGCAGCUGAGCUGGGCCUGGAACCACGAGCUCUCAGGAACCUGUGGAGGUGGAGAGGGCAUGCCUUGGGGCCGAGGGGGGCCCAGGGAGGAGGGUCCGCUGGAGUCAAGGACAGUGAUGGGAGCGGAGGUUGGAGGCUGGCGGCGGGAGAGGAUGGCAAUUCCAGGUGGAGCCGUUCGCCGUUCGGAAGGCCUUCCAAGUGCUACGAGCUGGUGGACAUGGUCAUGGGAUCCUUAUGGUGGGGAGUUCUGUUUCCUUAAUUCAAUACUGUGUCCUCAGAGCCAGGAACUGGGCAUGGCAUAUAGUAGGUGUUGAGUAAGCAUGUAUGGAAAGAGGGAGGGAAUGGUCAGAUUUGAAUUGUGGAUAUGGUGGGAUGGACUGGAGUGGGCCAGACCCAGGCAGGCCAGCUGGUGAGGAGGUGGGCCUAGGAGGGGUCGUGGUUAGAGGCCAGGAGCGGGGGUGGGGCAGAAAAGGAAGUGGCACUGCCUGGUCACCUGGUUGCAGCCUGGCUGUGGGGUGCAGAUGAGGAAGGCGGUCCAGCUGGGCAGUGAGGGAAUAGAAGGGGGGAAGGGGAAGGGGCAGCUUUGGGCUUGUGUGAAACAGGCUGAACUUCCAUGCCCACCUUGGGGUGUGUUUCAUGCCCCCACCCCCUCCAAGAGGCGGCGUCUCCAGAGCAGGGCCAAGCCUGCUUUCCCUGGAGCCCCAACCCUUACCCAGCUGGUUUUUUUUUUUUUGGCCGUGCCACAUGGCAUGCAGGAUCUUAGUUCCCCGACCAGGGAUCGAACCCGUGCCACCUGCAUCGGAAGCGUGAAGUCUUAACCACUGGACCGCCAGGGAACUCCCAGCCUGAGGCCUAGUUUUGCUGAACCUGUGCAAAGCAUUAAAGAGAUCACUGACAGUUCUUUGACCAGCUUCCUCAGAUCAGAAACAGAGCCACCGGCCAAAGGCCUCCUCAGGUGCCCCUUCCGGUCUGAGGGAAUAGAAAGUAGAGAGAGGUCAUGUGCUGACACAGCCCUAGCCUUCAGAGCACGGCACCCCCACUCUGCAGCCCAGAACAGACCAAGGACAUCUCCUGUGUCGUGGCACAUGCAGCCCAGAGCCGUGGCCAUGUCCACUGCCCUCUCAGUAGAGGUGGGUCAGGGUUCUUGACCUGUGGAGCCCUAAAGGAUUGCAGAGUGCCUGUGAGGUCUGAAGUUGCCUGCAGAUGGUGGGCGUGUGCACAUUAUUUCAAGGAAAGUGUUCCCAACUUCCAUCAGAUUCCCAAAGAGCAGCUGAUUCAAAGCAAGGUUAAAAUCUACCACUAAAAGAAAAGGAGAAGGAAGAUGAGGAGAGGAGGAAGAGGAGAGUGUGUGCAUUUGUUUAGGUCUCUAUAAAAGAAAGAAAUCCAGGGCUUCCCUGGUGGCGCAGUGGUUGAGAGUCCGCCUGUCCAUGCAGGGGACACGGGUUCGUGCCCCGGUCCGGGAAGAUCCCACAUGCCGCAGAGCGGCUGGGCCCGUGAGCCAUGGCCGCUGAGCCUACGCGUCCGGAGCCUGUGCUCCGCAACGGGAGAGGCCACAACAGUGAGAGGCCCGCGUACCGCAAAAAAAAAAAAAAGAAAGAAAGAAAUACAGUGUGAAUAGCUAUUAAAAAGUAAAAACCACGCCAAGCUCUCCCUUUCCAAUCCCCAUCCCAGCACCCAUCCGGGGCUGGACACACGGUGUUUUCUUUUAAGUGGCCACUUAUGACUCGCUCUAUGGCAGGCCCUGUGCCGGGCACUCUUAGGACAACAUCCCCUUUCGGCUUCCUCACAGUCCCGCGUGGAGCCUGGAUUCACAGCCGGCGUUGCUCUGCGCUGUGUUCCAGCAGUUCUGAACACUCCACCGCUAUGGAAGGUCCUGCACGUGGGCCUGUCCUAUCCCCUGUUCACUACUGAAGCAAGGCCGGGUGUCUGGGCGUCGGGUGGAAUGGGGGUAUGCAAAGCCCACAGGGCCUCCCGGCUAGGGAGAAGGCCUUUCUGGGUCCCUGUUUUUCUCCCCACCAAGCUGCAGGCUCCACAGGCUCACGCGUGGAGACGCGAGGUGGACGUGCUGGGUCCUGGUCCCUUGGAGUCUGAGUCCCUCUCAUUUCUCAGAGGCAAGGACCCCAGGACCCUCUGCCUUCCCCACACUCCCCAGGUACCCAAAUCCACAGAGGCCUGGUCUCACCACCUGCCAUCCGGGCACCAAGUGUUUUAUUAGAGUCCAAUUUUUAUCCGCACCGCGGAGAAGGAGGGGGAAACAGAGAGGGGGAACCCGGACCAGACCCCAGACCCCUCCCCCCACCGGAGCCCAGGGCAUCUGCCCUGUUGGGCCAAGGAAGACUUCGUGAGAUCCCUGAGGGCCCCAGGAGGAGGGGGCUGGGAGCAGCAGUAGAGGGCUGGGGGCCGCUGCUUCCCCGUCCAUGCCCCAGGCCAAGGCCCUCCGUCUAGAUUCUACCCUUUCUUUGAAGGGGUGUAGCGCCCCUCUCUGGAAGAGGAGGAGGAAGUGCUCCCUUUGGCUCCCUGCUCCCUUGGGCAGCCCCAAAGGGCACGUCACCCUAGGCCUGCUGCCAUCCGGCCCAGGUCCCAGCCACUGGGCACACCGGGGCUCCCCGAGGCCGCUCAGUCAGCCGACUGCAUUGCUCUUCCCCUCACAGGCUCCUCCUCCGUCUACCGCUUCUCCCUUCCACCUCCUGACCCGAACCCCUUUUGAUCUCAGGGUCAGAUGCAGCUGUGGUCUGUAUAUCCCACCUCUCGUCAUGCAGAAGGCCUGGCUGGUGUGGCCUCGGCCCAGGGCACGGGGCGAGGGCUGGAAGGGAGAGCCUGGGCUGGAGAGGUGCGACCAAGGGUGAGCUCCCUGGACCCUCAGGCUGGGGCUUAGGGGCCCACCCAGUCUGGGCACUCCUGGGCCAGGGGAGGCAUCUGGGGAGGCUCUGGGGCCAGCCUCCAACCCUCAGCCAGGGUCCUCCUGCAGCCGGCUCGAAGGAAGUGGUUCCUCAGCCUGGAUGGUGGUGCACCAAGGUCAGGCCAUUCUUCCUCCUGUCUAACUUAGCUCCGGCUUGCUGUCCCAUCUCCGUGUCCGCCCAGGGGUAGAGAGGAGCUGAGGGUCCUGUGGAGUGGCAGGGGAGGCUCCCAGGUCUGGCACCGUCAAAGGUGUCCCUGGGUCCACUGAGCUGAGGUCCCCAGCCUGGCGAGCUGGCCUCAAGCAGGAAGCGGGGCAGGGUGGUCCCUGUGUUCGAAACGGCUCUUGUUCCCUGGCCGUGGUGGGCGAGCGGGAGGUGAGGGCGGGGGCCCCCUAGAAGCAGCAGAAUCCAGAUCCUCUUUGUCUUCAGGGCCCCUGCCCUCAAGGUCUUCCGUGGACCCGGGACCUCCUUGUAGCAGUGGGGUGCAGGCCCCCUGCAGCUCCCGGGUCCUGACCCCUCGCCUCUCCCUGUGCCAGGGGGCACGAAACUGGGUCUGCUGGGCUCAGAAGCCCCCGCUCUCUGAGCUGCUCCGGCUGUGGUAGCUGGGACUGGGGGUCCUGGAAGGGCUGCGAGUGCGGCUGCGGGUCCGACUGCGGCUGCUGUAGCUUCCAUGGCUGUGGCCAGGGCUGGGGCUCCGGCUUGAGUAGUCGCUGCUCAGGCAGCUGGAGGAGGACGAGGGGCUGGGCCGGUAGUAGGGGAUGGGACGCUUUCGGGCACUGCCGGGAGGGAAGAGCUGAUUACAGGCCAGCCAAGGCCCUGAUCUGUGCCAGUCCUGGGCCCUCACUCAGGCCCUGAGCCCCUCCCCAGCAGUGGCCAGGGCUUCCCUGCCUCAGUUUCCCCUGAGCCUUGACCUUGGAAUUCUCCCCACCUCCACCCCUGCCCCAGCAAGACUGGACAUGCAGUGGUCCAAUUUCAUGUUGAUCACUUUGUUUUUCCUCACUUGUCUGCAGGGAAAGGGGACCAAGUCUCUGCUUGACCGGAGUAGGUGCUCAAUAAAAAUCUGUUGAGUAAAUGCAACUUUUAAGCCAA